GCGGGAUUAGUAUAGUGGCAGCACACUUGCUUCCCAAGCAAGAAACACGGGUUCGAUUCCCGUAUCCCGCA
This 71-nucleotide transfer RNA is filed under the name Candidatus Jorgensenbacteria bacterium. RNAcentral describes it as "tRNA-Gly". It matches the Rfam family "tRNA". Rfam says of the family: Transfer RNA (tRNA) molecules are approximately 80 nucleotides in length. Their secondary structure includes four short double-helical elements and three loops (D, anti-codon, and T loops). RNAcentral also lists the same sequence under 1 other name. The record is from RNAcentral. Lineage: Bacteria; Candidatus Joergenseniibacteriota.